Molecule: non-coding RNA, 852 nt
Organism: Pelobates cultripes (western spadefoot toad)
Lineage: Eukaryota; Metazoa; Chordata; Amphibia; Anura; Pelobatidae
Source: the annotation of a GenBank genome assembly
CAGAGGGGGGCUUGCUACUAACAACAAUGCUGCUCCUUAAGUCCGAGAAAUACUUCUCAUUGAGGAGAAUGAGACCAAGGAGAGGUCUGCUCAUGGACCACUGAUUCUGACAGUCCUUCAAAUAUGAUGAUGAUGGUGAUAUUGAGAACAGUGGAGAGCAUCUGCAUCUGCUGGAUCAUUUCAGGGUGGUUGCUGCAUAAUGUGCAGGAAGGCGCUCGCUCUCUUGUGGUGGUGGUGGGAGGCUCCUCGUUUCUUACCAGUUUGGGAUAACGGUUUGAAGAGGAGGUAUGUGACUAUGUGGUUUAGAAAGGUUUAGAAAAGCAAGCAAAGAAAAUGUUAGCAGUUUAUAAUGCAAAGCAGCCAAAUGUCGACUAAGGAGUCACUGUGAGAAUUAAAGUACCCGAAGUGGACAGAGCAAAAACUAAUGCUCGAUUUUUAGCUGUGGUUCUUAUUAAAACAGAGAAUGGCUUUUAUAAACUUGGUACUAGAACUGAUAUUUUGAAACAAUUGUAUGCCAAAUCGGAAUUCAGUGUUUGCAAAGAGAGAUUUUUAACGAAAGAAGAUGUCCCUGCUGUAGAAAUACCUUUACGUCAAACAGCAAUCAAACAAUCCCUUGAUACUGGGCAGGGUUUCCGAAAAUGUGACUGCAAAUCGAAAAUGUACCACAAAUAGGUGUGCUUGUCACAAAAAACAAUUGCUAUGUAAUUGAAAGUGUCGCCAAUCUUUAGAUUGCACUAAUAAGUAAGCAUAGUUUUAUAAUAUGUUUGUUUAGCAAAUUAAUUUCCUUAAUCGUUUGAUUCUUUCUAUUGCAGUUUUGUAACAGAAACUUGCUUCUUUGUUGCUAAAUAAAUA